RNAcentral lists this long non-coding RNA (1127 nucleotides) under Felis catus (domestic cat). RNAcentral's name for it is "lncRNA (ENSFCAG00000050252.1)". The record is from RNAcentral. Lineage: Eukaryota; Metazoa; Chordata; Mammalia; Carnivora; Felidae.
GUUAGGAAGGUCACGGGGCCCUACCGGUGCUUGAAAUGGGACCAGGCCAAUUUCUUUUGGUUCUUAAGGGACAGGGUGCCUCAGCCAACAUCUGAAUUGGGCUGAUGUCAAUCCUUGCGGCCUCUUCCAACAUUAACCUUCCAACCAAAUUGUUUUUCACAAACGGUUCAACAAUAAUCGGCUGCCAUGUUUAGUUUUGAGACGAUCAUUUUAAGAAAAGCACUGAGCUUCUUAGCAUAUUUCCCCGCUGAAAUACCUCUCUUGAGACGAACGUGUUGCAUUAUGGCUUGUCCAGCAAAGCAAUUUGUCCGUUGAAGGAAGCCCCAAAUUCUUAACAUCAGCAAGGCGAUCCCUGGGCUUCACCUUAUUAUGUAGGUAUUAUUUAGCAUUCUAGGAGUGUUGGAUGCUUGGUCGCUUGCGAGAACACGGAGGAAAUGCUACCAACUACUGGGAAACCCAGCGAUCGGAAAUGCCUGCUCCUUACAGCAGCUGGUUCCAAGGAGGAGAAUUAUGGCACCCUCAGAAUAUCCACCCUCAGAGUAUCGCUAAACAUUGUCAAGAGCAAAUUACAGUGUCCGACCUUAAACCACUCUUGGCUGAGACUGCAGGCCGAGGCUGCCUUGUCCCACCUCGCAGAAGUGAGAUUUUGCUUUCUUCAUUCGAGUUGGACCUUCUCGUACUUAGGCGUUUGGAGCCCACCACCCAAAACGAGGGAUUCAGAGAGUGCUUCCGACAGACGAUCGCUCGUCCCCUGACCUCCAAACCCCUCACCUAUGACCCGCUUCUCCGUGCAGGGUCCCAUCUCUAAGGUCACAGUGGAGCCCACGGAGACACCCCCAGAGCAGACACUCGUUCAAUACGUGGCUGGAACUUAAAUAGAAUAUAGAAAUCCAUUCGGCGUUAACCACACUCAUUCCUCUAGACAAUGGAGUCAACACUCUAACGCUGCAUGAGCUACACUCACACGGGGAGCUCGUCUGAGCGAAGGAGGGGGGAGGUCUUCGCUCUAAUCCAAACACUGGUUCAAAAGCAGCUGAGUUCUGGUUUCUGUCUUCACGAUUACUUGUUGAAAUCGUGUUAUAAGUGACCAGAAAGCUGUUGAAGGAAACAGGAGGAAGGAAAAGAGG